CACAAGUAAACAGUUGGUAGAAUGGGUAAGAGAGGAAGGUGCCAUCAUAAGAUGCUAUGGCGGAAUGACAGUAUCAGAAUUUCUCAAGAAUAAGAAAACCUGCAUACCUGAAAAUGGGAAAGUGAAGCAUGUCAUUUUGAAUUUAGGAAGCAAUGAUCUUAGCAGCUGCUCUGAUGUGUUGGAAGAAUUGACAAAAACAGGGGAUGAAAACACAGUAGAAGAAAUUUUUGAGGUAAUUGCUGGUCAGAUCGUAUCUGCAGCGAGAGUUUAUAUGGACUUGAGAAAGAAUGUUGGUGUCCUUUUGCCAGGACAUAGAAAGGGGUUGAAAAAAGAAUAUGUAGUGAGACUGAAUAAGAUAUGUAAAACGAAAUUGGAAGAUCUUGGAAUUGAUUAUGUGGAUGUGGCAGAAGAUAUGGAAGAUAAUGGAGGAGUAAGAGUAUGUACAACAGGGGAUGGUAUACAUUUCAAGUUUACAUAUGUAACUAGAAUUGUAGGUAUGUUGUUUAACAAAAUGGGAUUGGAUUUUGAAUUACCUACAGAGGCCCUGGAAGUUAGUUGGUCAAGGACACUAGCAGGACUUUGUAUGAGAUGUGGAAAAGACAGACAUUCCAGACUGACAUUUUGUAAUGUAGACUCUGAAUGUGCAUGUUGUGGAAAAGAUGGACACAAGGAAAAUGUGUGCAGGUCGCGGUUUGAGCAAUGUCAGGGAUGUGGAAAGUAUGGACAUUAUGUAUUUAAAUGCCCGUGGAAAAGAGACAGGAAGAUGUAAAUAUUUGAAAUAGUGCAGCAUAAUGUAUGAAAGAAAUGAACAAUAUGGAAAUGUAGAAAAAAAGGGAUGAUAGAAUGAAGGGAAUUGUUGGGGGUGAUGGUUUUUCACUUUUCAGAAAAAAAAACAUAACCAAUUACUUCAUUUAUAAUAUAAAUAUAAUUAAAUCUAUAGUGUUCAUCCUGAAUUAUUACAAAGUCAUAACAGUGUGCACUGUGCACUUCAUUAAAAAGUGAAACAUAAUGAAAAAAAAACCACAUGAUAUUGACAGUUUUAUUUGCUAAAGUGAAAAACGACCACCCUAGGAAUAGGUAGGGAACAAUGCAGGAAUUCUUUCAAUGAAAAUACAAAAUUUCUUCUAUGCUUGUAUCAAAUAAUUAAUCAUAUAUUCAACUUAAAAUUGACAUGAAAUUACCAACAUUCUUAUCCACUUAAAAUUAACAAGCUUUCAUAUUCCAAUAUUUUGAAAUUGAACCCUGCAACCUAAUCAAAAAAUACUUUGGAAUUAGAUACAAAAGCUAAUCUCUGAUUUCUUUUAGCUAAGAUCUCCUGCAUUGUUAUAGGGGUAGCUGUAGGGGAGAAGGGAGGCUACCAUUUUUUUUCAGAUUAUUAAAAUUCUUUCAAGAUCAAAUAGAAUUUGUAUUCAUACAAAUUCGUACAAAUCUGGUGGACUUUUAAAGCAGCUACAUACAAUGUAUAUCAGAAAACUGAAGAGAGAUUUGUUCCGAUGGAUGUGAUGGCAUAUACUAAAUUCAAUGCCAUCGAUAGUACCAAGAGAUGUAAAUAUUUGAAAUGGUGCAACAUAUGUAUGAAGAAAAUUAACAGUAUGGAAAUGUAGAAAAAUGGAUGAUAGAAUGAAGGGAAAUUGUUGGGGCUGAUGAUUUUUCACUUUUCAGAAAAAAAAACAUAAGCAGUUAUUUCAUUUAUAAUAUAAAUAUAAGUAAAUCUAUAGUAUUCAUCCUGAAUUAUUACAAAAAGUCAUAACAGUGUGUACUGUGCACAUGAUAUUGACAGUUUUAUUUGCUAAAGUGAAAAACCACCACCACAAUGCAGGAAUUCUUUCAAUGAAAAUACAAAAUUUCUUCUACGCUUGUAUCAAAUAAUUAAUCAUAUAUUCAACUUAAAAUUGGCAUAAAAUUACCAACAUUCUUAUCCACUUAAAAUUAACCAGCUUUCAUAUUCCAAUAUUUUGAAAUUGAACUCUGCAACCUAAUCAAAAAAUACUUUGGAAAUAGAUACAAAAGCUAAUCUCUGAUUUCUUUUAGCUAAGGGCUCCUGCAUUGUUGUGGGGGAGUAGGGAGGCUACCAUUUUUUUUUUUCAGAUUAUUAAAAUUCUUUCAAGAUCAAAUAGAAUUUGUAUUCAUACAAAUCUGGUGGACUUUUAAAGCAGCUACAUACAAUGUAUAGCAGAAAAGUGAAGAGAGAUUUGUUCCAAGGGAUGUGAUGGCAUAUACUCAACUAUGCAUGAUGUUCAUGGAUUGGAGAUGACUUUAUUAAUAUAUGGUGAAUAUGUACUACAAUCAACAAACAUAAAUUAAGGAUUCAGAUAAUAAACAAAGAAACCAGCUUUUGUGGCACUUAGCUAAAAGUCAUGUAAAAUACAGAGAACAGUAAAAAUACUGAGAAGAGUAAAUAAUCCAUGUAGAUAUUUUGUUGUUUUGCUCAUCCUACUUUUCUGAAGAUAACAAGACACCAAGAAAUUAUGCCAAACACUUCUCAAAGUCCAUGCUUUUAGAAUAAAGACAGUAAUUCUUUUAAAAAAAUUGUUGUGUUAAUGUGAAUGAAAUGUUGUACUGAUAGCAGUCCUACAACCCAGUUUAAUUUGACAAGCCCUCCACAUAAA
Patella vulgata (common limpet) is the source of this 2609-nucleotide long non-coding RNA. RefSeq lists it as uncharacterized. Lineage: Eukaryota; Metazoa; Mollusca; Gastropoda; Patellidae. The transcript is spliced from 5 exons. The record is from RefSeq and is a predicted model, not a curated record.